GACGAACGCUGGCGGCGUGCCUAAUACAUGCAAGUAGAACGCUGAAGGAGGAGCUUGCUCUUCUGGAUGAGUUGCGAACGGGUGAGUAACGCGUAGGUAACCUGCCUGGUAGCGGGGGAUAACUAUUGGAAACGAUAGCUAAUACCGCAUAACAGUAGAUGCUGCAUGACAUUUGCUUAAAAGGUGCAAUUGCAUCACUACCAGAUGGACCUGCGUUGUAUUAGCUAGUUGGUGGGGUAACGGCUCACCAAGGCGACGAUACAUAGCCGACCUGAGAGGGUGAUCGGCCACACUGGGACUGAGACACGGCCCAGACUCCUACGGGAGGCAGCAGUAGGGAAUCUUCGGCAAUGGACGGAAGUCUGACCGAGCAACGCCGCGUGAGUGAAGAAGGUUUUCGGAUCGUAAAGCUCUGUUGUAAGAGAAGAACGAGUGUGAGAGUGGAAAGUUCACACUGUGACGGUAUCUUACCAGAAAGGGACGGCUAACUACGU
This 494-nucleotide ribosomal RNA is filed under the name uncultured bacterium. RNAcentral describes it as "partial 16S ribosomal RNA". It matches the Rfam family "Bacterial small subunit ribosomal RNA", at positions 28 to 506 of the family's 1533-position model. The record is from RNAcentral.